GACGAACGCUGGCGGCGUGCCUAAUACAUGCAAGUAGAACGCUGAAGCAGGAGCUUGCUUCUCUGGAUGAGUGGCGAACGGGUGAGUAGCACGUAGGUAACCUGCCUCUUAGCGGGGGAUAACUAUUGGAAACGAUAGCUAAUACCGCAUAAGAGUAGAUGUUGCAUGAGAUUUGCUUAAAAAGUGCAAUUGCAUCACUACCAGAUGGAGCUUCGUUGUAUUAGGUAGUGGGUGGGGUAAAGGCUCACUAAGGCGACGAUACAGAGCCGACCGGAGAAGGGGGUUGGCCACACUGGGAGUGAGACACGGCACAGAAUGCCUGGGGAGGGAGCCGUAGGGCAUCGUCGGGAAUGGGCGGAAGUCUGACCGAGCCACGCCGCGUGAGUGAAGAAGGUUUUCGGGUCGUAAAGCUCUGUUGUAAGGGAAGAACCAGUGUGAGAGUGGAAAGUUCACACUGUGACGGUAUCUUACCAGAAAGCGACGGCUAACUACGUG
RNAcentral lists this ribosomal RNA (495 nucleotides) under uncultured bacterium. RNAcentral's name for it is "partial 16S ribosomal RNA". It matches the Rfam family "Bacterial small subunit ribosomal RNA", at positions 28 to 507 of the family's 1533-position model. The record is from RNAcentral.